AUCAGUAUUCAUGUGUGAUAAAUCUUGUUUCUGAAGGUUGUGAUGAUUAGUUUCAUCUUUGUUUCUGAGUAAUUGGUUCCACAUUGUGAUAUUUUCCUGAAUAUAUGUGUUGCACUGAUCAGUUUUUGACCCUUGAUCGUUUGCUCUUGCAUAGUAUAAUAUAACCCUCAAAUUUGAUCCCAGCUGAUAAUAAACUUGGUUUAUGACCUUAGGUAGUCAAUUAGGGUCAAUUAUUGACCAAAUAGAUAGGCACCAGGAUGUAACACAUAUAGUCAGUAAUUAAGAAAGAAAGACAUGAGUAUUAAGGGUAUUUGAACAUGAGAAUCUUGUAACAAACUCCUCGAACAUUCUAGUGAAGGGUCAAAAUAUAAUCUCUGUUAAUUCUACCUCAAAAAGAAGACAGGGGUAUUAAGGGUAUUUGAAUAGAUAAUUUGUAACAAACUCCUGGAACAUUCUAGUAAAGGGUCAAAAUACAAUUUAUGUUAAUUCUGCCUCAAAACUUGAGGCAAGUUAGAAAAUCAAGGAUCAUUUAGGCAAAUCUGAAAAAUGGGUAAGGGACUAAAAGGAAAACAAAAAGAUUUUGUUGCCCUAAGGUUUGGUUAUAAAAGAGGCGUCUGAAAGAAAAAAAAGGGUGAGAGAUACAGAGGGAUAUAGAUUGAGAGAUACACUUUAUAUAUACAUUCUAAGAGGACAAUUUUAGAUAUACAGGGAUACGCUUUAGAUAUACAUUCAGAUAUUUUUUAAACCAAUUUCCUGAAAUCCUAAGUUUUCUGGCAAAUCUUCUAUAAUAAUCAGAAUUCUUCUCAUUAUAAGUUGAAGAUGAAUUGAGGCAUAUACAUUUUGAGCUGUUAGAGAAACCUGUGUCGAUAUUUGCUUCUCAAAAUUUCCUGAGUUCCUGGGUUAGCUAGUAGAUUUGACUGUUGUUGCUUGCUUGCUUCUCCUUUAACUUGCUCAUAGGUUCUCUUUUGCUGAAAUUCCAAGUACCAACUCUUACCCAGAAAGUUUGUAAAUGCACAGUUGUAUAUGUAUAUUCAUGUCCGACAAUGAAGACC
Molecule: long non-coding RNA, 1052 nt
Filed under: Nicotiana benthamiana
Lineage: Eukaryota; Viridiplantae; Streptophyta; Magnoliopsida; Solanales; Solanaceae
Description: long non-coding RNA (NBEN_LNC020184)
Source: RNAcentral